ACGGGGGGAGCAAGCGUUGUCCGGAUUUAUUGGGCGUAAAGGGCGCGUAGGCGGCGUGAUAAGUCAGGAGUGAAAUUCCUGGUUUUAACGGGGGAGUUGCUUUGGAUACUGUCGGGCUUGAGUGCAGGAGAGGUAAGUGGAAUUCCCGGUGUAGCGGUGAAAUGCGUAGAGAUCGGGAGGAACACCAGUGGCGAAGGCGACUUACUGGACUGUAACUGACGCUGAGGCGCGAAAGUGUGGGGAGCAAACAG
Molecule: ribosomal RNA, 251 nt
Filed under: uncultured prokaryote
Description: partial 16S rRNA
Rfam family: Bacterial small subunit ribosomal RNA
Source: RNAcentral